Long non-coding RNA from Canis lupus familiaris (dog), 430 nucleotides. RefSeq lists it as uncharacterized. The transcript has 4 exons. The record is from RefSeq and is a predicted model, not a curated record. Lineage: Eukaryota; Metazoa; Chordata; Mammalia; Carnivora; Canidae.
GACCCCAGGAUCAUGACCUGAGCCGAAGGCAGAUAGAUGCCCAACCACCGAGCCACCCAGAAUCUUGCUAGAAGGGAAGUUAAUGCCUUGGGAGCCUGAGUUGGGAAUUCUUAUUCACACUCAUCUAUUCAAGAAGCAGCAGUGGAAGCAAUCAUUCCUCAUGGCCAUCAUCCUUCCCACAUCCCAGGGGUUUCAACAGGGAAAUAGAGGCUACUCCUCUCAAAAAAUGAGAAGCAAACGCAUAGAUAAUGAGAAUGCCCCUCACAUCCCUCCUGCUGCCCAGAAGUCAGAGGUUGGACACUCGCUAGUGUCACCUAAGAAACAGAAGAAGGAGGGGUACACCAACUGCAGGCCCUCUUGCUGACACGAUGAGAUUGCACAGCACAUUGGUAUUGGUGUGGGUGUCCUGGGAAGUUCAACAAACUCAGAG